RNAcentral lists this ribosomal RNA (358 nucleotides) under Pseudoalteromonas sp. MSK9-3. RNAcentral describes it as "bacterial SSU rRNA". It matches the Rfam family "Bacterial small subunit ribosomal RNA", at positions 452 to 808 of the family's 1533-position model. Lineage: Bacteria; Pseudomonadati; Pseudomonadota; Gammaproteobacteria; Alteromonadales; Pseudoalteromonadaceae. The record is from RNAcentral.
AGUUAAUAGCUGCUAGCUGUGACGUUACUGACAGAAGAAGCACCGGCUAACUCCGUGCCAGCAGCCGCGGUAAUACGGAGGGUGCGAGCGUUAAUCGGAAUUACUGGGCGUAAAGCGUACGCAGGCGGUUUGUUAAGCGAGAUGUGAAAGCCCCGGGCUCAACCUGGGAACUGCAUUUCGAACUGGCAGACUAGAGUGUGAUAGAGGGUGGUAGAAUUUCAGGUGUAGCGGUGAAAUGCGUAGAGAUCUGAAGGAAUACCGAUGGCGAAGGCAGCCACCUGGGUCAACACUGACGCUCAUGUACGAAAGCGUGGGGAGCAAACGGGAUUAGAUACCCCGGUAGUCCACGCCGUAAACG